GGAAAAAAAGAAAAAAACCAAGCCAAAACCAACAAAAAAAACCCAGCCACUCAGUUUGUUCUUUAUUUUAGUGGACUUAAUCCUAUUUGUUUAACUAGAAAGGGAGAUUAACCGAAACGCUGUGUUACAGACCCCAGCAAUCCUUUCGAGUUUAGAUCUUGGGCCUUUCUCAGAUCAGUGCUUUUUCCCCAGACAGGGUUGUUUGGGGAUUCUUGUUUGUUUGAAUCCACAGCCUGAGAACAGGGCAGAAGUGCCUGCCCGCACCGUCCGACGUACGCGGGCACAGGCUGUAGCGCGGUUCCCGAAGCCCCAGCCUCCCCGCAGCUGGUUCGGCACCAAGCUGUGACUUGGCACGCCAUCUCCCGGAGCCGGCAACGGGAAUGGGAGGUGCCCACCCGUCCCGAUGGAGGAGAGCCCUCCUCUCGCGGCGGCGGGGAGGUGAUGGAGAGCAGCGUGCUCCCCGCAGCCCGCUCCCUGCUGCCCGCUCUGCCACGGGGGGCAUGCGGUAGGUGCCGCAUCCCUGGGGAACUGCUCGGGGAGGAUUAUUCAGAGCUUUCACGUUUUGCAGUGUACAUUCCAAGUAAAUCCCUCUGCCUUA
Non-coding RNA from Phalacrocorax carbo (great cormorant), 598 nucleotides. NCBI's taxonomy places the organism in Eukaryota, Metazoa, Chordata, Aves, Suliformes, Phalacrocoracidae. The record is from RefSeq and is a predicted model, not a curated record.